GAAUUUUGGGCAAUGGGCGAAAGCCUGACCCAGCAACGCCGCGUGAAGGAUGAAAUCCCUCGGGAUGUAAACUUCGCAAGAACGGGAAGAAUAAGUAAGAGUUAAUAUCCCUUACGAUGACGGUACUGUUUGUAAGCCACGGCUAACCCCGUGCCAGCAGCCGCGGUAAUACGGGGGGAGCAAGCGUUGUUCGGAUUUACUGGGCGUGAAGGGCGCGUAGGCGGCCUCUGCAAGUCGACUGUGAAAUCUCCGGGCUUAACCCGGAAAGGUCAGCCGAUACUGCAGGGCUAGAGUGCAGAAGGGGCAACUGGAAUUCUCGGUGUAGCGGUGAAAUGCGUAGAUAUCGAGAGGAACACCUGCGGCGAAGGCGGGUUGCUGGGCUGACACUGACGCUGAGGCGCGAAAGCUAGGGGAGCGAACGGG
RNAcentral lists this ribosomal RNA (423 nucleotides) under uncultured bacterium. RNAcentral's name for it is "bacterial SSU rRNA". It matches the Rfam family "Bacterial small subunit ribosomal RNA", at positions 359 to 776 of the family's 1533-position model. The record is from RNAcentral.